Molecule: small RNA, 77 nt
Filed under: Salmonella enterica subsp. enterica serovar Typhimurium
Lineage: Bacteria; Pseudomonadati; Pseudomonadota; Gammaproteobacteria; Enterobacterales; Enterobacteriaceae
Description: RtT RNA
Rfam family: RtT RNA
About the family: This family represents a bacterial cis-regulatory element known as RtT RNA. The exact function of RtT is unknown although it is thought that it may be involved in changing the cellular response in relation to amino acid starvation.
Source: RNAcentral
CUAAGGUUCGAUUCGAGCGUCAGCGAGAAAGCGUUGCCGCAGGCAACGACCCGAAGGGCGAAGCGCGCAGCGCUGAG